Non-coding RNA from Bactrocera oleae (olive fruit fly), 1085 nucleotides. The record is from RefSeq and is a predicted model, not a curated record. NCBI's taxonomy places the organism in Eukaryota, Metazoa, Arthropoda, Insecta, Diptera, Tephritidae.
AUUUUGUUCUAUCAUCCGUGUUCGUCACAGUAUGUUUUUCGAUGCAAGUUAAUCGAUAAUAUUUUCAUAUUUACAUGUUUUGUCAUCACUAAUUCGUUUUUAGAAAUAAAUAAAAAUCAUAUCGUUCAAUUGUCAGUUGCUAAAAUGACAACAAACACAAAUAUUGACGAAAACUUUGAAACUCCGGAUUUCGACGAAGAUGAGCUUGGCGAGGAGCAAUUUGUCUCGACUACGGCUGGAAGGAAAAGGCUGUUCAGCAAGGAGCUUCGAUGUAUGAUGUAUGGAUUUGGUGAUGAUAAGAAUCCAUAUACUGAGAGUGUGGAUUUAUUAGAAGAUAUUGUUAUUGAAUUUAUAACGGAAAUGACCCACAAAGCAAUGGAGAUCGGACGUACUGGGCGAGUACAAGUGGAGGAUAUUAUAUUUUUAGUUAGGAAGGAUCAAAGAAAAUAUGCACGUGUCAAAGACUUAUUGACAAUGAAUGAAGAAUUAAAGAAAGCCAGAAAAGCUUUUGAUGAAAUUAAAUACGUCGGUAAUGAGGCAAAAAUCAAAUGACAAAAGGCUAAAUAAAAAAUGGUUUUCAUGUAAUUAUUUUAUUUUCAAUUUAUGUAUACUUGUAUGAAUAGAAACAAAAUAUUUUAAUAGCAAUGACUUUUAAUCAAAGUAGUCUUCAAUAUCGAUAUCCGGAUUAAGAAUGUCAUCUCCAUAUGGGGCAGAACUUUUAAGGUAUCUCAUUGAUGUCUCUACUGGAAUAAUUUGUGUUCGGUCAUCAUGGCGCUUUUUUAUUUCUUCAGCAGUAAGAUUAUUGGAUUCAGAAGCACUAACGUUUUCUUCCGGCUUUGCAUCACACCUUAAAAUUGCACCUGUAUGAAAACAUGUAAGCCGUUGAGGAAAGGAAGCGCGAUUAACAACAGAAAACUUUUCGUUAGUAAGAUUUCUAGAUAUUGUCCGUAAAAUUGUAAUCAUUUUACUUUAUACCGAUGUAAAAAACUUCUUUACCGUUCCUAACCAAAUAUUAAAUAAUAUACUAUUUAGUGAUGUUCCAAUACCGCACGGUCUUGCUUUUAAAGAAGUUAAUAUAAUAUCAU